This 85-nucleotide non-coding RNA is filed under the name Chloroflexota bacterium. RNAcentral's name for it is "Chloroflexi bacterium c-di-GMP sequence". It matches the Rfam family "c-di-GMP-II-GAG riboswitch aptamer". Lineage: Bacteria; Bacillati; Chloroflexota. The record is from RNAcentral.
GCGAUUGCGGGAGGCUACGACGCGCGAACCUUCCUGCGGACGCCCGGUUCGCGCUGAGCCACUGGCGAGACCGACCCGCACCUGG